UACGGAGGGUGCAAGCGUUGUUCGGAAUUACUGGGCGUAAAGCGCGUGUAGGCGGUUUUCUAAGUCUGAUGUGAAAGCCCGGGGCUCAACCUCGGAAGUGCAUUGGAAACUGGGAGACUUGAGUACCGGAGAGGAGGGUGGAAUUCCUGGUGUAGCGGUGAAAUGCGUAGAUAUCAGGAGGAACACCGGUGGCGAAGGCGGCCCUCUGGACGGAUACUGACGCUGAGACGCGAAAGCGUGGGGAGCAAACAGG
RNAcentral lists this ribosomal RNA (253 nucleotides) under uncultured bacterium. RNAcentral's name for it is "partial 16S ribosomal RNA". It matches the Rfam family "Bacterial small subunit ribosomal RNA", at positions 524 to 776 of the family's 1533-position model. The record is from RNAcentral.